GCAGAAGGAUCAUUAGUGAAGAUUUGGGCAGGCCAUACGGACGCCAAAAAGUGUCCCUGGCCGCCUACACCCACUAUACAUCCACAAACCCGUGUGCACUGUCUUGGAGAAAGGCUUCAGAGAGGUUUUUUGUGGCCUCUCUUGGGGUCUUUCUUCGCUACAAACUCGAAUGGUUAGUAUGAACGUGGAACUUGGUUGGACCGUCACUGGCCAACAAACUAUACACAACUUUCGACAACGGAUCUCUUGGUUCUCCCA
Molecule: unclassified non-coding RNA, 258 nt
Filed under: uncultured fungus
Lineage: Eukaryota; Fungi
Description: partial contains 18S rRNA, ITS1, 5.8S rRNA
Source: RNAcentral